This 767-nucleotide ribosomal RNA is filed under the name uncultured bacterium. Its description in RNAcentral is "bacterial SSU rRNA". It matches the Rfam family "Bacterial small subunit ribosomal RNA", at positions 47 to 784 of the family's 1533-position model. The record is from RNAcentral.
GAUAAGACAUGCAAGUCGAGUGAGAUUUUUUCUUGUAGCAACAGAAGGGAACAGUCUAGCGGCGAACGGGUGCUUAACACGUGGGCAACCUGCCAAGAAGUGGGGGAUAGCUCGCCGAACGGCGAAUUAAUACCGCAUGUGAUCAGAGUGGACAUCCACUCAAACGGGAACGUCGGGGCAACCUGACGCUUCUUGAGGGGCCAGCGGCCUAUCAGCUAGUUGGUGAGGUAACGGCCAACCAAGGCUUUCAGGAUUAGCUGGUCUGAGAGGACGACCAGGGACCCUGGGACUGAGACACGGCCAAGACACCUACGGGUGGCAGCAGUCGAGAAUUUUUCUCAAUGGGGGAACCACUGAAGGAGUGACGCCGCGUGGAGGAUGAAGGUCUUCGGAUUGUAACCUCCUGUACGGGGGGGAACAAUGCGGACGCGUUAACUGCGCGUUCGUUGAUAGUACCAGAAGAGGAAGAGACGGCUAACUCUGUGCCAGCAGCCGCGGUAACAGAAGAGGUCUCAAGCGUUGUUCGGAUUACGGGGGGCGUAACGGGUGCGUAGGCGGCGCGGUAAGUCGGGUGUGAACUCUCGGAGUUUAACUCCGAACCUGACGGGCGACAGAUGCCGUGCUUGAGGACUGGAGAGGAGACUGGAAUUUACGGUGUAGCGGUGAACUGCGUAGAUAUCGUAAGGAAGACCAGUGGCGAAGGCGGGUCUCUGGACAGUUCCUGACGCUGAGGCACGAACGGCCAGGGGAGUAACCGGGAUUAGACA